AAGGACUAACUGUGAUUCAUAUAUUUAUCAAGCAACUUCCCGUCGUGAUCGCCUUUUGUGAACAAAGCAGGUCAUCACUUAAUAUUAGUAAGGAAAGCAUUGGUUCAUCUAAGGAAAAAAUCGCAAGAAAGCAGAGUGGGCUCGAAAAUGUUCGUGACCAAUUGAUAAGCACAAUUCUCACAAUAUUAGUCUGUGAUGUGCUCAAGUUUGAUCCACCUGAGAUUGAGCGGGCUGUUUUCCUUGCAACUAACAACGCUCUGGUUUGUAGAUACCAUUAAAGUUGUCUACUAAAUCGAUCUUAUUCAAUUUGAUGGGCUCGCAAUGAAUGGAACCUUCUAUCAGAAAUCUGGAAUCAUUUCUGGUGGUAUAACAUAACAAGAAAAACUCACGGAAGAAAAGAAGAGUUGGUAAAGAAAUCACCAACAGAGUAAACUGGCAACUGUCGAAAGACAAAUUCAGGGUUUCGCAAAUUGUCUAAAAUACACAAAGUCGUACAAAAAAUCCAUCUCACAACUCACAACGGGGUAAGGAAAUAUGAAUGACGUUUUACAAUAAAGUUUUUUGCAGCUAAAAAUCAAAGAAAUCUAACACCGGAUGUUGAAUCAUGACUCAGGAGAUCAAAGAAAACUUGAACAAUGUUUUAGGUUUUAGUCGAGUUAUGUCUCCGUUUUGGUGCCAAAAUUAUUCUAUAGUAUGAGGAAGACGGCUAAAUUUGAACAACAUUUAUACAAUUAACAUGUAAUUGGAUUUUGAAAAACAAAAGUUGUUGACUUCAAUUUCAAAUGGAGUUCAAUUUUGUAUAAAAUGUUUUCCCACAUUUGAAUCGAUGGAUUGUAGAGCAGUUCUCCUGCUUAAAGAAUCUCUUGAUGAUGUUCAGCUAGGUGAUUCUGAAACUGCAAGAAGGGAGCUUCAGUUUCUAUGAUUCUCAGAAAAGAAAAUCAUAAUUGAAGUCAACCAUAGCUGUUUGCUGCGCGGAAUCCUGCAAACUUAAAUCACAAAUAAUUAUAUACAGAUAUCUCAUCUUCAUAGAAAAAAGUGAC
Molecule: long non-coding RNA, 1040 nt
Organism: Episyrphus balteatus (marmalade hoverfly)
Lineage: Eukaryota; Metazoa; Arthropoda; Insecta; Diptera; Syrphidae
Exons: 3
Source: RefSeq, a predicted model, not a curated record